Molecule: ribosomal RNA, 196 nt
Filed under: uncultured soil bacterium
Lineage: Bacteria
Description: partial 16S ribosomal RNA
Rfam family: Bacterial small subunit ribosomal RNA
Source: RNAcentral
AGAUUGAACGCUGGCGGCAUGCUUUACACAUGCAAGUCGUGCGGCAGCGCGGGGGCAACCCUGGCGGCGAGCGGCGAACGGGUGAGGAAUACAUCGGAACGUACCCCGGAGUGGGGGAUAACCCAGCGAAAGUUGGACUAAUACCGCAUAUGCUCUGAGGAGGAAAGCAGGGGACUUCGCAAGGAGGCCUUGCGCU